This is a non-coding RNA of Delphinapterus leucas (beluga whale), 4875 nucleotides long. Lineage: Eukaryota; Metazoa; Chordata; Mammalia; Artiodactyla; Monodontidae. The record is from RefSeq and is a predicted model, not a curated record.
UAGACACUAAUAUGUAUAAAACAGAUAACUAAUAAGAACCUGCUGUAUAAAAAAUAAAGAAAUUAAAUUAAAAAAAAACAAAACAACAAAAAAGAAAAUGUGUCUUCAUAUUCACACUUCAAAACAAGACAGAUUCUAAUUACAUCAGUAAAAAUACGGGGGCUGGAAAUAAUAAACAGUAUGUGGUCAUCAUAGAUGGUAAGUGAAAAGUAUCAUUCAUAGCUAAUACCUACUUAGUGCUUACUAUGUCAAGCACUGUUUUAAGCCUUUUACAUAUCUUAACUCAUCAUGACCCACUAUGAGGUAGGUAUUAGUAUUAUCCUCAUUUUACAGACGAGGAAACUAAGAUACAAAGAAGUUACACACCUUGUCCAAAAUAUCUAUUAUUUAAGAUAUGUAGCUUCUCAUUGAUGGUCAUUUCACUUACUCCAUUUUCUUUAUUGCUUCAUUUAAUAACCAAAAAAUAUUUCACAGGGCUUUCAGGAGUUUACUUGCAACCUUAGUCUUUCUAGGACUAGUUACUCUCUCAAAAUUUGGGGUUUUCAGCUAUGAUUUAUCAAAAUGGAGUUUUCAGAAACUCUCAGCUUGAGAAGCUGAUAUUAUGAUGGACAGAUGCCCAAAUAUUUCACAGAAUCAGAGCCAGAGCAGCCAACACAGAUUGGGCUGGACAGAAAUGGUAGCAAAGUUAAGACUUUAAUUCAGUCCUAAAUGAUCGAAGGGACCAGAUCAGGAGAAAGACAGGGAAGGACAUUUAAGGCACUGAACACAGGUAUUGGUCAAAGUAUUAGGAAGAGCCAGAAUCUGUGUAUGCCUGUGACAAUGUAUGUGUAUGGAAAACAGCAGGAAAUACGGUUGGAGAAAUAGACAGGGUCCCAGUCAAGAAGAACUUCCCAUGCCACACUAAACAGUAUGACAUUAAAGGGUUUAUGCUGGGAGUCACAGGAUCAGAUUGGAUUCCAGAAAGGACACACUGUCACUGUCUUCCACACUCCAUCCUCACCUCGUCACUCACCACCAUCAGCUCCAGCACUCAGUUCAUCCAUCCUCUACCAUGAUUUGGAGACUAUUAAACCAGUCGGGAUCUGAAACAAAGUCUGUGGCAGAGAGAAGAGAAUGGAUCCAAGGGGUAAAUAAGAAGUAGAAUCAACAGGACUUUUAUACAGGAAGGAGCUGACAUUUCUGGGGUGUGAAUCUGGAUGGGUCAGGGUACCACUCCCUGAGACAGAAGACUCACAGGAAAACAUGAAGAGGGGAGGCGGUGACUUCAGUCUGAAACAUACAAGGUUUCAGGGGCUUGAUGAACACCAGACUCGUGUGCCCACUAGGCAGCCAAAGAGGAGGCUAAGCUUCAGGGGGUUGAGCUGAUCUUACUGAGACAGAAGAACUCACAAAAGGACACUAAGAAAAAAUAACCAGAGGCUGAGAAAAGAGAAAGUUGCAAUGUCAAAGGAAGUUAAGGAACGAGAAAAUUUCAGAAAGGAGGGUGUGGUGAGUUUCUAAAAGGAGGGUAUAGUCAGAACUGGAUGCUACAGGAGACCGUGUGAAAUAAGGACUGAAAAGGGCUCAUUCAAUCUGGCAAUGAUGAGGCCUCUGGGGUAAAAGCAGGAAUUAUAAGGCAGAGACAGAAGCCAGAUUAAACAUAGGGAAGGGAAAAAAUGGGAGGUGACCGAGGGGAGACAAAGAAGGUAGAAAAAUGUUGGCUCAGUUUGGCAAGAGAUAGACACUGAUACUGAGGUCUCACUGAAGAAGUCUGUGCUGAGAGGAGCGAGGCCCCAGAAACAGGAGAAGGGAGCCUACACCCAUGCAGGAGGACCAGUCUUGAACAGAAGAAGGGAAAGGUCUUGCACCAAGACAGGAUGGAAGAAGGUAAGAAUGUAGGUGGGCAAAGAUGAGCUGGUGGAGGGAGAGAGAAGCAUUGUGGGAUACCUGUCCACUGGUUCUACUUUCUCCAAGAGGCAGGCAGGAAGGGCACCUGCAGAGAGUACUGAAGCCAGGGGCAGUAGAAGGGAGGAGAGGAAAAGUUUUGGAGUAGUUCUUCCAGGAACAGGAGAAGGAACUGAGUAGGUAAGUACCAUAGACGAUUAAGUAGUACCGAGUGCCACUGGGGUUGGGUUUUGUGCUUUUCCCUGAGUUGUGUCGUGCAGCCCAAAUGCAGAAAAAGGAAGCAAAUGGUUGGACUGAUCUAAGGUAAGGUGUCUGCAAGGUGGAUAUUCGGGAAGACAAAGGGCACAGGAGAUGGCACAUAUUGGCUUACAAUGAUUAAAAUAAGGAAUCAUGGGGCCCAAGGCUGGAUAGACAAGUUAUUAAAGUUUCAAGACUGACAGAAGGGACCAGAGGGUUUAUUCAUAAAGAGCAGGUGUGCAGGGUGUGAGGGAGUAUAAACAGGAGAGUCAAAGACUGUGUUCUGAGAUUGGGAUGCUGCAUAUUUAAGAUUUUAAAAGCAGAACAGACCUGGGUCAUGAUAAGUCCAGGCUGCGAGUCGCAAGAGCGGGGCACUGUUACAGGUCACAGUAAUACAAUUAUAGUAUCAAUAUUAUCCCAUUUCACUAAUGAGCCAAAGAUUAGGUGACUUAUUCAAAGUCACAGCUAAUUAACGGCAAGGCCAAGGUUUUAAUCCAGACCUUUGCUGCCAAAUCCUGUGAUCUUUUCAUACAAAAUCAUUUCACGUGGUACUCUUUUCUUCCAACCUUUGAAUAAGAAAUAACAAGAUGGUGAUUUUGCUUUCAGUCUAGAACCAAGUUAUAAAUAAAAGAAAGCUAUAAAUCUGAUUUAAAAUGCAAGUGAAAGUGACAGUAUUAUUUUCAGUAUUCUGGUUAUUACCUCUAGUGUAGAAGCUUAUGAAAUUCUGUUAAAAUGUACCUUUUUACACAGUGUUUUCUUAUGAUAAAAGCAUUAAAUAUAAAUAGCUAUCUAACAUGGCAACAAAAAUAGUUAAGAACCAUUUUAGCUUAUGAAGCAUAAAUCCAGCCUGAAGUGGCAGGUCGGCCAUUAUGUCACUACACUAUACCCCACUAGCUAUCAAGUACCAGGCUGCUUUAGGAUGAUUCAGGAAGAUAAGGAGAUAUAACAACACAUAUUUCCAACCCAAGUAUAUUUAGGUAUAUACCCAAAAGUGAACACCUGAUUUGUUCAAAUGUAAAUGGGGCUGCCAUUUUCUUUUAGAAGAAUCACUUGAGCCCAGAAAAUCCAAGGAAGCUAAGGAUGCUGGCGGCGGGCAUAAAUGGCAAAUUAGAACCCUACUGCAGUUAGUUACUGCUAACCCCAUCCCGGGCAGCCCUUAGGAUAUUAUACAUUAACAGGCAUAUUCAGAUGGAACGAUGGUGGUAAACAUAAUUCAAUCUGGAAUAAUUCAUUACAAAAGGCAAAUGAAAAAAUGUCAAAUUUGCUACCUAUGACAUCAGCUAUUACUGCCCUUUACUAUCUAUUAAAGGGAGGAGCCUGCAGGAAAACAUGUUCUUCACACAUUCUCACAUACGGUUAUACCAUAGCUAUUUAUUUCACCCACUCUUGAAGCAGCAGGGUUUUCCUCUGUCAGCCAAGGCCCAUCCAACCCAGCUUAUCAAGAUUCUCCAACUGUUCCUGGGAUUCCUAUUCUCCCUAUUAGUAGCUACUAGCUUGCUUUUCCUGAGUAAUUACUUGCCAGGUUAGGACUUUACCCGGAUUGCUAUUUAAUCCUCACAUCAGCCACGUGAAGUAGGUACUGUUACCAUCCCCCAUCCCCAUUCUACAGAUGAGGAGAGUGGGGCACGGUCACAAGAUCACACAGAUGGUAAGGCCUGGCUCUUAGCCACUCCCACAUACCCUCUCCAUGCCUCAGCCUUUACUACCUCCCCAUCCAGAUUUCACCCAACUUCUGCUCUACAUCUCAGAGGUCACAUGUUCGGGAAAGCUCCCCACUUACUUGUAUCCACACUGAUCACCCCCUUUCUCAGAGGAAGCUUCUUCAUGCCCGGAUAGAAGCCUUGCUUUGUGCCAGCAUCAGCACCCUCUAACAUUCAUGGGGAGGACCUUGGGGAGACCAACCGGGCCUGUCUGCCGGGAAACUGGUGUUGACAGAUGAGACAGUGUCUUCACAGAAAUGAGGUUGGGUUAAAUAGCAUCAGCACUUUAAAAAUUCUAAGACGUAAUCCAAGCCCUGGUUCCUCAAGGUGUUCAGGGAUAGGGAUUCCUGCAAAUCUGAAUUACGUCUUUUCUUUAAUCUCAUGUGCUCAAACCUGGUAGACUUGAAAGACUAGCAAAAAUGAAUGUUAGAGCGGUUAGAGACAUUUGUGCGCAAUGAUGUUAACCCCUUCCAGCCUACUCCUCCAAGGCCAUGCAGGCAACUUAGAGAACAGCAAGGACUCCAACUCCUUCAGCUGUGGGAGGAAGGAAGAACACUGCCCCCGUGUUCGGAGAAUCUUAGUUCUGCACCAGGCGCUGUCACCUACCAGCCGCGUGACAACCAGCAAAUCACUACGAUCUCUCUGGGCCUCAGUUUCCACCAGUAAAACAAGAGCAAUGAUACCUAAGGCUGUUGUAAGAACUAAACGAGCUGGCAGAUGAAAGUUUGUAAAAUCAAACAUCCACUGAUGGCGUCCAAGACCACUGUCAACAGUGUAUCUUAUUCAAAGGCACCAACUAGCAAAAGACCACAAGCAUAAUGGGUUCUGAUGCAUCUGAAAAUGUUUGUUUGACCAAGGAAUAGCUGAAGCUCAUCUAAACUGCACCAGGAAAACCAGUAAACCCAACAAAACGUAUCACCUAUAUACAUCGACUGCCAGACAACUUAAAGGUAAAGAAGGAGAAGGAUCAUGUUGAAUAAAAGCACUGUAGGGUUUCCCUGGUGGCGCAGUGGUGUUGGGAGUCCGCCUGCCGAUGCGGGUUCGUGCCCCGGUC